Molecule: long non-coding RNA, 3200 nt
Organism: Pseudopipra pipra
Lineage: Eukaryota; Metazoa; Chordata; Aves; Passeriformes; Pipridae
Exons: 2
Source: RefSeq, a predicted model, not a curated record
CGGAGCCGCACCUGCCUCGCCACCCACCCCGCUCCUGGGCUUCGAUGAAUGGAGGCGAACGGCGCCUAGGGAGGCACGGCCCCGAAGAAGGCAGCUCCGGACUCAUGAAGGCAAUAUUCACCCUUCCAGCAAGAAAGUAGCAAGAAAUUGAGCCACCAACCUCUGCUGGACCAGAGGACUUUGGAUGGCACCUUUUCAGUUUUCCAGUUUAACCAGGGAAGGUGCUUUUAACACUGUAUUUCAGUAUAACCCUAACCCUGGGACAAGUAAUACCCGUGCUCAUGGAGUGGAGCUGCAGUUAAUUAGCCACAUUUAAUGAUAUGAAUAUGACAACAAUGAAUAUUGCUUUUUGUCACUGUUCAAACUUCUCCAGCUAACCCUGUCCUUCCAUAAAACAGAAUUCGAACCCCUCUGUCCACAGGUACUAAACUGCAGAAAAUAACCUGGAGAUCUGAGUCUAAAAUAGUAUUUUGUGUUCACAUCUGAAGAGUUUAAGAAAGUAAAUCUCCUUGGUAAUGUAAAAACAGCAAUGCUCCCUUGAGUUUAUUGCACUACAUCUGGCAAUGACUACACACUGAAAGUGAUUAAAUAUAACUGACUGCUUUAUGAGUGACAUUUUCUCAAUCAGCUUUUUAUAACAUGAUUAAUUAGACUUUAGAGACUGAAAAUAAUGAUAAAUCCUUUCCUUUAUUCUAACAGCAAGAUGCUGGGCCUCUAGAUGAGAGAGAAUAAAGAUGAAUGCAGAAAAAAAUGCUCUUCUGCCCAAAAGGAACAAGAAAAAAACCCCCAGAAGAUCUCUUUGAAGUUCAAGAACUUAUAAUUUAGGUGUUCAAUACAGAAAAAACUCAUACCAAGCUGUCUGCAGAUACCAAGUAAUAGUAAGCUCUGCUCCUAAACAGCUUAACACAAUCCAUGAAAAGUCAUACACACAUGCAUCCAUCAUAUGCACAUGCAUACAUGUGCAAUUUCAAAUGGUAAGGAUGAAAUAGGAAUGAAGGAUUAAUGAGUUACUGUUUAUCCACCCAAAAAUAACUUGAGGUCUUCAAAACAUUUUUUUUCUUAGUCUUCAUAUAUUGUAUUGCUGUAAAAAUGCAAAAUUCACUUUUAACUCCUGAAUUAUGCAUUUCUAGAUCCUGUGGUUGAGGAGGUAAUAAAUCUGAACAUUGGAAAAAACAAAUGUAGCAUAUGCCACAGGAAUAUUCUACUUUGUGAUUGAGUUCAGUGUUGGUUUUUUUUUUGUUCCUCUGUUUACUGAUCGUUUAUCUCUUGCACUGCAGUUUGCCUCUCGAAGAUGACACAAACAAUGCUGUAUUUUGCUUUGCUUUUCUAAAAAGUGGGAAGUAAAAGAUGUAUAGGUACCACAAGGCCUGCAGCAGGUCAAUUCAGAUGAGCCAAAUGUAAUGGCCACAGGGCUAUCUGGAAUCCACCCCAACCAGCACUGCCCCAGGCAGCAAGUGUUCUGAUACUGCCUAUAUGCCCACUCUUCCUCUCAGAUCCCGUCAAGAAGCUUGAUUAUCUGAACACCACACCUGGUCAGGGCUGGGCAAAUAAAACUGGCUUGGAAUCAAGGGGUUUUGUGGUUACAGAGUAAGUUUUCUGUUAAUGUGAAAUCUCUUGGGUAUGCUGUAAAGCCUGGUGAUUUCCUUUAUAACAUGAGCUCUUUUUCCAAACUAGUAGCAAUUGCUAGAUCUACAGGACCAGAAAGAUUAAUUUUGAUGGAAGAUUCAAACACAAACAAAGGAAGUAAUUUAUAUAUACUACAUGCAAACCGAAGUUCAGACACACUCUCAUUUUAUGUAGUGACCUCCUGAUAAUAUCCCAGAGAGCUCUGUGAAAUAACAGUAGCAGCCUACUGCCUUCAUGGAACAAGGGACUGGCAGUUUUCUAAAGCAAUGUCGACCUCAAUUCUUACCUCUCAUUCUGUAAGCAGAAUAAUUCUUCAAGGACCUGUAGGAUACCUGCAUAAGGUGAGGUCACUAUCACUACGGGAAGAUGAAGCCCUGAUUCAAAGAGAAGACUGAUGAGAUGGAGCACUUUAUAGCUGCUACUGCAUCAAUGACACAAUUAGGUAUAUAUGAGUCUGUAUUUCUGUCAAGGAAACAGAAGGCAGAAAUAUGCAGGAGUAGGGGGAACAUGCCACACAACACAUGCACAAUUGUCCAAAACAUCCAAGACUGCAUGUGUUGCUCAGAGACCAAGUGUACCAUACAGUACCAUACAGUCUGUAAGAGCAAAUAUGAACUUCAUAUGCUUCGAGGACGUGCUGGGCUACCAGACCACAUAUGGACUGCACUGGGCAAUACAAGUGAGGGGAGAAAAAAUGAAUUUAAUGUUCUCUUAAUUUGCCCUGUUCCUUGAUAAACUUAUAUGCGAAUAUCAUAUGAUUUCCUGCACCCUCUGUUCUCCUCAAAGAACAAACCUAAUUCAAGCUUCCUUAAGUGGAUGGGAUCUACUAUUAAAGAAAAAAGAAAAGACUGUUUCUGCCAGGAUAUUUCUGCUUUGCUGAUCACAAAAGCAUGCUUUAUAUUUUCAGAUUUCCAGAGACAGAAAGGAAGAUAGACAUUUUUCAACAGUGACAGAACCAUCUAAAUACUUGUGUACUAAGAGCAGUUUAACCUCCUCAUUGUAAAUCAAGGAAUAUUUUGUAGCUUUAGCGCCCUUAAAUGGAUAUUCAAAGUUUAGCCACUAGCCAACUACUAUAAUACUCUUAAAUAAAAGACAGUUGAGAUACCAGAACAUAAUUUAAACAUUUAGAACUAGUAGUACCAUUAUAAUACAAAAUUAUUAAUAAAAAUAGACAUUUUUAUAGUGAGAAUGUAUUUAAGACAUCUUUGUGUCAGAAGGAGUUGCCUAACACAACUCUAAUAAAGUACUCUUUACAGCGUGUACAUUGCUGAACUGUAGAUACUCAUUUGAGCAUCCUGUAUGCUACAGGCAACAAACCCCCCCAUAUAUUACAAAGACUAUUAUACAACAAACCAUAUCAAAUGCAAAAUCACUUCAUUAUAAACUAUUAUUGCUAUAUUCAUUUCAAAAGUACAAAAUUAUUAAUUAUAUACAAAAAAGCCUCCCCAGAAUUUUGGUAAUUAGCAUAACAUUUCAGUUUCUUUAAUUGCUUCCAUUAGAGUAAUUUGUUCAUUUUAUUAACACCAGAUGCAAUAACACAAUGCUAAAAAUAAACAUGCAUUUUACAACAAAUU